This 468-nucleotide ribosomal RNA is filed under the name uncultured bacterium. Its description in RNAcentral is "partial 16S ribosomal RNA". It matches the Rfam family "Bacterial small subunit ribosomal RNA", at positions 28 to 507 of the family's 1533-position model. The record is from RNAcentral.
GACGAACGCUGGCGGCGUGCUUAACACAUGCAAGUCGAACGGAAAGGCCCUGCUUUUGUGGGGUGCUCGAGUGGCGAACGGGUUAGUAACACGUGAGUAACCUGCCCUUGACUUUGGGAUAACUUCAGGAAACUGGGGCUAAUACCGGAUAGGAGCUCCUGCUGCAUGGUGGGGGUUGGAAAGUUUCGGCGGUUGGGGAUGGACUCGCGGCUUAUCAGCUUGUUGGUGGGGUAGUGGCUUACCAAGGCUUUGACGGGUAGCCGGCCUGAGAGGGUGACCGGACACAUUGGGAAUGAGAUACGGCCCAGACUCAUACGGGAGGAAGCAGUGGGGAAUAUUGCACAAUGGGCGGAAGCCUGAUGCAGCAACGCCGCGUGCGGGAUGACGGCCUUCGGGUUGUAAACCGCUUUCGCCUGUGACGAAGCGUGAGUGACGGUAAUGGGUAAAGAAGCACCGGCUAAAUACGUG